This 225-nucleotide ribosomal RNA is filed under the name uncultured bacterium. Its description in RNAcentral is "partial 16S ribosomal RNA". It matches the Rfam family "Bacterial small subunit ribosomal RNA", at positions 116 to 334 of the family's 1533-position model. The record is from RNAcentral.
CGUAGGUAACCUGCCCAUGUGUCCGGGAUAACUGCUGGAAACGGUAGCUAAAACCGGAUAGGUAUACAGAGCGCAUGCUCAGUAUAUUAAAGCGCCCUUCAAGGCGUGAACAUGGAUGGACCUGCGGCGCAUUAGCUAGUUGGUGAGGUAACGGCCCACCAAGGCGAUGAUGCGUAGCCGGCCUGAGAGGGUGAUCGGCCACAUUGGAACUGAGACACGGUCCAA